RNAcentral lists this ribosomal RNA (198 nucleotides) under uncultured bacterium. RNAcentral describes it as "partial 16S ribosomal RNA". It matches the Rfam family "Bacterial small subunit ribosomal RNA", at positions 328 to 539 of the family's 1533-position model. The record is from RNAcentral.
ACGCUCGACACCUACGGGAGGCNGCAGUGGGGAAUAUUGCACAAUGGGGGAAACCCUGAUGCAGCGACGCCGCGUGGAGGAAGAAGGUCUUCGGAUUGUAAACUCCUGUCCCAGGGGACGAUAAUGACGGUACCCUGGGAGGAAGCACCGGCUAACUACGUGCCAACAGCCGCGGUAAUCUGAGCGGGCUGGCAAGGC